This 341-nucleotide long non-coding RNA is filed under the name Homo sapiens (human). Its description in RNAcentral is "non-protein coding lnc-CXCR4-3:1". Lineage: Eukaryota; Metazoa; Chordata; Mammalia; Primates; Hominidae. The record is from RNAcentral.
AGAUGCAGGUGGUGACUGAGAAACCAACAUACAAACUUUGAAAAAUACAAGGGGGGCACAAAGGUAUGGGCCCAGAGACUGCAGACAACAGGUCAGAAAACCACAGCAUUCUAAGAUUCUCUCUGACUGAAGGUGGGGAUAAAACAGAUUUUCAAGAAGAAAAUGAAGCAUACAGUUUGAAAAAUACAGAUCAAAUAACAUACUUUUUCACCUUUGGAAAACAACUUCAUGUUUUCACAAUACAAACUAUUGAAAGUAAGUAGAGUUCAAUAAACAUCUCUUGAUUGUUGGAGAAUGGUCAGAAGAAAUAUCUUCUGUAUAUUUGUGCUUCCUAGAAAGAG